Molecule: ribosomal RNA, 428 nt
Filed under: uncultured bacterium
Lineage: Bacteria
Description: bacterial SSU rRNA
Rfam family: Bacterial small subunit ribosomal RNA
Source: RNAcentral
UGAGGAAUAUUGCGCAAUGGGGGCAACCCUGACGCAGCGACGCCGCGUGGGUGAGGAAGGUUUUCGGAUCGUAAAGCCCUGUCAGGUGGGAAGAAGUGUUAUACGGUUAAUACCCGUAUAAUUUGACGGUACCACCAGAGGAAGCACCGGCUAACUCCGUGCCAGCAGCCGCGGUAAUACGGAGGGUGCGAGCGUUGUUCGGAAUUACUGGGCGUAAAGGGCGCGUAGGCGGCCUGAUAAGUCAGAUGUGAAAGCCCACGGCUCAACCGUGGAAGUGCAUCUGAAACUGUCUGGCUUGAGUAUUGGAUGGGAAAGUGGAAUUCCAGGUGUAGAGGUGAAAUUCGUAGAUAUCUGGAGGAACACCGGUGGCGAAGGCGACUUUCUGGACAAAUACUGACGCUGAGGCGCGAAAGCGUGGGGAGCAAACA